RNAcentral lists this long non-coding RNA (4743 nucleotides) under Homo sapiens (human). RNAcentral's name for it is "PREDICTED lncRNA (TCONS_00181429)". The record is from RNAcentral. Lineage: Eukaryota; Metazoa; Chordata; Mammalia; Primates; Hominidae.
CGCUGCUGUCACCCCGGCCGCGCCCCCCAACUUUCUGCACAGUCGCGGAGCUGGAAGUUUCCGGGCUUCGCGGACACGCUGGGCUGGGUUUCAGUCGCGGCUCCGAGGUUGGCAACAAAGAGGGAAAGAAGGAGGAAAAGCAGGCCGGGGAGGGGAGGAAGAGAACCGCGCGGAGGCCGCGGCGCCGAGAGCCCCAGAACUUCCAAUUCUACCCAGAAGCUUUUUUCGUCGUGUUUUUCUCUUAGGUAAACAAGCAAGUUCCACGCCCCAGUCCUGCUGGGGCCUUCGCCAGCCACCGCUCUGGGCUCAUCUCCCGGCGCCUCCUCGGGGCACCUGAGCGUUUUAAGCCCCACUGCCAAGUGUUUUGGACACAGGUUUUUUUGCGGGGUGGUGAGGUUGGGCACAAGAUGCUUCCUAAAAGGUUGUUGGCACGCAGACCAUGGCCCCAGUGACGGAGCGGUAGGCAGGGGCUUGAGGAACACGCUGUCUUUGUCUCGUCCCCAAAGCACCCGGCCGUGGGUCACCCGUGAUCCCUGGAGUGGAGGGACUGUUGUGACCCCUGGUGCUCCAGGAGAAGGGGUUCCAUGCUGGGUCCCGGGCCCAGGCCCACGGUGCCCUCAGCCUGCAGUUCUCCACCUUGCGGAAUGAUUUGCUGGCCCGGCCCAGCUCCCCGGCACCACCAUUUUCUGCCCUCUUUUCCCUGCCUGGCUUCAAACCCUCCCAGGCAAGGGUCCCGAGGAGACACCUGGGCUGGGGGAGGCAACUGAGUGGCCCCAGGCCUGGGAAUCUGCAAAAGUGGCCAAGCCACAUCUCUCGAGACUGCAAGGGCCCUGGAGGCGCUGGGAGGCACAGAUCUGGCUGCCAGCUGGGCCUGAGGCCUCCCUUUGUCCGUCCUUCCUGUUCUUCCUCACCAGACAUGAUCCUCUCUGAGGUUGGUCCUGGGCUUCCAUACGUGAUUCAUGGAAGAGGUCUCAGCCCCAAGAGCCCCUGAGGGUACUGUCCACUCCCCCUGGAAACUUCCAGAACCUGACGUGGGGCUGAAGACAUAGAGGUAAUGGGGAUGGGCUGGUGGGGCGCUGGCUGGGACAAUGUGUGGAGCCCUUGUUUUCAGAGCUACAGAUGCUUGUCAGCUGACAGUUCGUUUCCAGCAUCCACAGUGGACCUCCUUUGGGGGAGCAUUUACCUGCCAAUGAACCCCAAGAUCCUUUCUCAGAGGCGGCGGGAUGAAGUUUUCCUUUUUUUUUUUUUUAGUUAAUAUAUUUUAUUUAAACCAAUAUAUCCAAAAUAUUAUCAGUUCAACAUACGAUCAAGAUAAAGAUUAAUGAGAUACUUUACAUUUUCAUACUAAAUCUUUUUUUAAAUUUUUGUGAGUACAUAGUAGGUAUAAACAUUUAGGGAUGAAGUUUCUUACUGUGUUUUCCCAGUAACAAGCACUGGCAUCAGCUGUCAUGAUUUCUCCCCAAGGCCUAGGAUGGUCAGCCUCGCACGCUCCACAGCAGAGUGACUGAAGCUCUAUCGAGGUGUGGCACGAGCGUGUUGUCAUUUCAAGAGAAUCUGCAGCCUCCCUGGUUUUUAAUGAAAGCUCCUAUGCAGGGCCUGGCCCUUUCCUGGGGAGGGAAGGCUGGCUGUGUCUCCCGCUGCAUCCUCACUGGGAACUUCAUUCCUGAGCUGCGACCGCUAUUUUUUGGAUUGGAAAAUGCCUUGGGAACGGCUCAUCUUCCUGCGGCUUGAGCCCAUUUGUUUUCUGACUGGUGGUCACUGGUGAUUAGAGUGUGUCCCAAAGGGAACCGUCACCUUAGUUCUAUCAUACACUAUCAAUAACUUGUCCAGGGCUGACUUUGUGGCUGUGUGGCUUGCCCAGUGGUAGAGGGCCGGUGUGCAGAAGGGCCCCACACUCAAUGUUUGGCUGUCCCCGGUCUUAAAAUUCUUAGUCAUUCUUGAACAAGGGAACCCAUAUUUUCAUUUUGUUCUAGGCUCUGAGAGUUACAUAAUUGAUUCUGACUUUGGCUGUUGGUCAACAGUGUCAUAAGGUAAAAUAAGGUAAAAAUCUAUGAUUUUUAUAUUUCUUUUUUUCUUUCUUUCUUUUUCCUUUUUUUUUUUUUUUUUUUUUUUGAGACACAGUCUUGCUCUGUCACCAGGGUGGAGUGCAGUGGCGCAGUGGUGCGAUCUUGGCUCACUGCAACCUCCGCCUCCCGAGUUCAAGCGAUUCUCCUGCCUCAGCCUCCUGAGUAGCUGGGACUACAGGUGCGCACCAUCAUGCCCAGCUAAUUUUUGUAUUUUUAGUAGAGACGGGAUUUCACCAUGUUGGCCAGGGUGGUGGUCUCGAUCUCCUGAACUUGUGAUCCGCCCACCUCGGCCUCCCAAAGUGCUGGGAUUACAGGCGUGAGCCAACGUGCCCAGCUGAUUUUUAUAUUUCUUUUACUAAAUUCUGUUUACAGAAAUAAUUCCAGAUUCUAUGUAAGAUACAAAUAUUUUAACUGAAGAUCAUUGUAUUUAGGGAAAAUGUUCACCUUUAAGAGACAGGGGCUGGGCGUUGUGGCUCACGCCUGUAAUCCCAGCACUUUGGGAGGCCGAGGCUGGUGGAUCGCACGAGCCCAGGAAUUCCAGACCAGCCUGGGCAACACGGCGAAACCCUGUCUAUGCAAAAUAUACAAAAAUUAGCCAAGCAUGGGGGUGUGCACCUGUAACUCCCAGCUACUCCAGAGGCUGAGGUGGGAAGACUGCUCAAGCCCGGGAGGUCAAAGCUGCAGUGAGAGACCUUGUCUUAAAUACAAACAGGCAGGAAGUCGUUAUAAGCAUAAUACAAUCCUGGAUGUUGGAAUCAUCCCUGUCCAGCCUUGGCUCUGCCACGUGGGUGCUGAAUGCUGCCUCAGGGACCCUGGUGCCCAGCUCCCACCUGCAGGGUGUUCUGAGGAGCCAGCACGCUGGGAGGGCCUAGCAGGAGAUGUGGCAUGAACCAGGUAUUCGAUAAAUAAAAAGUGCCUUUGAUUGUCACGUUUAUCAUUUGACAUGUAGGCACAGGUGCAGUUUGAUUAUUUUUAAUGUAAGUCUAUUUUAUCUCUUCCCGUUAUAAAAGCAAUACACACUGUGAUAGACGGUUUGGAGAAUUCAGGAAAGAAAAAGAAAAAGAAAAAAAAUUCCUCCUAGGCCCUCUGCUCCAGAGCCUCCAGCCGUCACAUGACAGUGUAUUUCUUUACAAUUACAGAAAUAGAUACGUGACUGUUACAUUUUGAAACUUUUUCUUUUACCUUGACUUAUUUUUAAAUAGAAACACUAGUGAGGCCCCACAGAACUGAGCAGAACUAAUGGCCCCCCAUGUGGUGGAAUAGUUCUGAGCUGGCCCCACUUUGGAUGCAGCCUUCCCCGGCAAGUCUAAACCCAGUCUCUGUGGCUGCCUGUUCACAGGGACCGUGGACUGUGAUGUUUACAGUACGAAAGCACUGGGAGAGAACGCUACAUCACAAAGUGUCCUUAACCUGCUGCCGCCUCAGCUUUCCCAUUUGUGACUUGGUUAAAAAAAAUUUUUUUGACAGUUUUAAGCUCUUAUUUUAAUUUCCACAGGCUGUUGUAGAAUCUGCUCAGCCAGGGAGGGGAAAGGAGUCGGCAAUCAGGUCUCCUCCUGGGCACCUUUGUGAGGCCAGCUGGCGAGAGUGGGGGGUGACACUGAGGUCCCAGCAGCUCCAAAUGCAGGCAGAGCCCUGUCCUCAGAGAAGGUCACAGCCUAGCCAAGCCCAGCCAGGUGGAUGGGCCCACGGAACGCACAGGAACCUGGAACGGAGGUUGAAAGCAGGAAGCACAGUCUGUGACUCCCCAGCCCACUCUGCAUUCGACCACUUGGGGCCCAGAAGCUUCAGGAAAGGUGCACAAGGUCACUGGGUCCCAGUACUCCCAACAGGAAGGUCUGGUCCAGGGACAGGGCUCUUCCCGACUCCCCUUAGCCACACGCACCAGAAGUUCUGCAGUGCCCAGUGGGCAUAGCAGUCCCCAAGAAUGACCCAGCACUGAAGCUGAGCCAAAGAACUUGGGGAGCGAGCCACACCCCCUCACUCCCUCUUCGCCUGCUCCAGACUUGCCAGGCGGUUGCUUUUCGUGGGAACCGGGAUGUCCUCACCACCCUGUCCAGGGCCCAGCCCCAUGUCCCUGGCCUGCUACAGCUGGAAAAAAAAAAGAGAGAUGUUUGUUUUUAUUUGUUUAUAAAAAGAAAAGUGUUAUAUAUAUAACAUAUUAUACCUCAUGAAUACAUACAAUUAUUUGUCAAUUAACAAUAAAGAAAAAUACAGCAAGCAAAAAAGACUCUCUUCCACAAAAAUAGUGUUCAUUACAGAAAAGUACAAAAAAAAAAAAAAAAAACUAAGAGGAUAUUUAGAAUUAAGAAAAAACUAAGAGGGUAUUUAGAAUUAAAAAAUAAAAAGAAAACAAUUACCCAUGAGGUAAUUACUGAAUGCAUUUGGUUGAAAGUCCUUCUGCUAUAUUUUCCAAACUGUAUGUGUAUAUAUGUGCGCAUGCAUAUAUGUGUUUGUGUGUGUGUACACAUAUCUAUAUGAAUGGACCAUAUCGUAAGUUAUAAAUGCAUACAUAUAUUCAUGUAUAUAUAAUCAUUAGAUCAUACUAUAGGUUAUUUUACAGUCUUUUUGUUGAAUACGUUGUGAGCAUUUUAUGUCAUUAUUUUCUACAAGAUUUGAAAAAUAAAGUAUAAAUACCAGUUAAUUUUUGAAAUCAACCUUAUUAAGGAAUAAGUUCCAU